CCUACGGGUGGCAGCAGUGAGGAAUAUUGGUCAAUGGACGAGAGUCUGAACCAGCCAAGUAGCGUGAAGGAUGACUGCCCUAUGGGUUGUAAACUUCUUUUAUAUGGGAAUAAAACGUUCCAAGUGUGGGAUUUUGUAUGUACCAUAUGAAUAAGGAUCGGCUAACUCCGUGCCAGCAGCCGCGGUAAUACGGGGGUUCCGAGGGUUAUCCGGAUUUAUUGGGUUAAAGGGGGCGUAGGUGGAUUGUUAAGUCUGUUGUGAAAGUUUGCGGCUCAAGCGUAAAAUUGCAGGUGAAACUGGCAGUCUUGAGUACAGUAGAGGUGGGCGGAAUUCGUGGUGUAGCGGUGAAAUGCUGAGAUAUCACGAAGAACUCCGAUUGCGAAGGCAGUUCACUGGACUGCAACUGACACUGAGGCUCGAAAGUGUGGGUAGCAAACAGGAUUAGAUACCCCUGUAGUC
RNAcentral lists this ribosomal RNA (459 nucleotides) under uncultured bacterium. Its description in RNAcentral is "partial 16S ribosomal RNA". It matches the Rfam family "Bacterial small subunit ribosomal RNA", at positions 338 to 795 of the family's 1533-position model. The record is from RNAcentral.